GACGAACGCUGGCGGCGUGCUUAACACAUGCAAGUCGAACGGAAAGGCCCUGCUUUUGUGGGGUGCUCGAGUGGCGAACGGGUGAGUAACACGUGAGUAACCUGCCCUUGACUUUGGGAUAACUUCAGGAAACUGGGGCUAAUACCGGAUAGGAGCUCCUGCUGCAUGGUGGGGGUUGGAAAGUUUCGGCGGUUGGGGAUGGACUCGCGGCUUAUCAGCUUGUUGGUGGGGUAGUGGCUUACCAAGGCUUUGACGGGUAGCCGGCCUGAGAGGGUGACCGGCCACAUUGGGACUGGGAUGCGGCCAAGACGGCUACUGGAGGCAGCAGUGGGGAACAUUGCACGAUGGGCGGCAGCCUGAUGCAGGAACGCCGCGUGCGAGAUGACGGCCUGUGGGGUGUAAACCUCGUUCGCCUGGGACGAAGCGUGAGUGACGGUAAUGGGUAAAGAAGCACCGGCUAACUACGUG
Molecule: ribosomal RNA, 468 nt
Filed under: uncultured bacterium
Lineage: Bacteria
Description: partial 16S ribosomal RNA
Rfam family: Bacterial small subunit ribosomal RNA
Source: RNAcentral